Molecule: transfer RNA, 88 nt
Filed under: Henningerozyma blattae CBS 6284
Lineage: Eukaryota; Fungi; Ascomycota; Saccharomycetes; Saccharomycetales; Saccharomycetaceae
Description: Tetrapisispora blattae CBS 6284 tRNA
Rfam family: tRNA
About the family: Transfer RNA (tRNA) molecules are approximately 80 nucleotides in length. Their secondary structure includes four short double-helical elements and three loops (D, anti-codon, and T loops). Further hydrogen bonds mediate the characteristic L-shaped molecular structure. tRNAs have two regions of fundamental functional importance: the anti-codon, which is responsible for specific mRNA codon recognition, and the 3' end, to which the tRNAs corresponding amino acid is attached (by aminoacyl-tRNA synthetases). tRNAs cope with the degeneracy of the genetic code in two manners: having more than one tRNA (with a specific anti-codon) for a particular amino acid; and 'wobble' base-pairing, i.e. permitting non-standard base-pairing at the 3rd anti-codon position.
Source: Rfam by way of RNAcentral
GGGCGUGUGGUCUAGUGGUAUGAUUCUCGCUUUGGAUUCUACAACACAAAUAUGUGAGAGGCCCUGGGUUCAAUUCCCAGCUCGCCCC